Peromyscus eremicus (cactus mouse) is the source of this 1031-nucleotide long non-coding RNA. RefSeq lists it as uncharacterized. Lineage: Eukaryota; Metazoa; Chordata; Mammalia; Rodentia; Cricetidae. The transcript is spliced from 3 exons. The record is from RefSeq and is a predicted model, not a curated record.
GAUGAGGGCAGUGCUUCUUACGUCUCAUCCAAGCACUAAUGUAGGAGCCACAGGGAAAGGCAAAGAGAAACUCUGCCACUUGCUCGCAGUACCCUCCCCUCGGGGUUCCAACUCCUCCCUCAUAAAAUGAGUAGAAGGAAGCUCAUUUUCCUCAGGCUUCCUGCUCUCUCGGCCUUUCUUUCCCCUGCUUCAGGAACUGUCUCUCUCUGAGGUGAUGGGGUCAGCCUCAGAACCACUCACUAUCACAUUCCCGAGUUGCUUUCAGACAGCCUGCUGCAGCACGUUCACAUCAGCCCUGGGAAGCCAGGCCUUCAGUGAAGACCUCUGUGCACAGUCAUGCUUCCUGACACUUGUCAAGACCUGGGGUCUUCCCGCGAUCCCUCACCUCAGCCUCAGAGUUCUCUGGUCACAAUUUAUCAUGUGCUCAGGAGAAUGGAAAGGCCCUGUGUGACAAUCCCAGCACUGUGGUGUUCAAAUUUUCUAUAGACUUUGGAGCAUCUUCAACUGGUGUAUGUGGAUGUUGGCAUGAGAAUGUUAAUUAAGAAGUCAUCACUGGAAGGCAGGCAGUUCGAAAUCAGCUUCAAGUCUUUCUCCUCUCCUGAACCUUUUGAAUGAAAGUACAACUGGAAGCCUCAGCUUCAUUUGGGUCCUCCAUCGGCAGCAGAGUGUGAGCCAGAGUUGUGCUCCAUGUCUCCUCUCAGGAACUUGUGCAGGCAUCCAGGAAGAAAGAUGAGCACAGUGAGUUUUCUAAACAACCAGCAGCAUGAACGAGGACUGUAGGGUUUUCUUCAGUCUUAGGCUAGGGCAGCCUCCGCUGCUUUUCCAUGCAUUGAUACAGAGAUGCUAUGUAUUCUGGUGGCUAAGAUAGUCUCUCCACCCAAGGCACGUGAGUCACCUUCAACCUUAACCAUCAUGGUGCUCCCCCUGCUGGGCUGAACACGAAAUGCAGCCCUUGCAAGGAGGCUUGCACAAUUGUAGUUGUCUUUUCUUUUUUUACAUUUAUUUGUUUGUGUGUACAUAUAUAUGUAUGC